Molecule: ribosomal RNA, 533 nt
Filed under: Achromobacter xylosoxidans
Lineage: Bacteria; Pseudomonadati; Pseudomonadota; Betaproteobacteria; Burkholderiales; Alcaligenaceae
Description: bacterial SSU rRNA
Rfam family: Bacterial small subunit ribosomal RNA
Source: RNAcentral
CUUCCAUGCAGUCGACGGCAGCACGGACUUCGGUCUGGUGGCGAGUGGCGAACGGGUGCGUUUUUUUCGGAACGUGCCCAGUAGCGGGGGAUAACUACGCGAAAGCGUAGCUAAUACCGCAUACGCCCUACGGGGGAAAGCAGGGGAUCGCAAGACCUUGCACUAUUGGAGCGGCCGAUAUCGGAUUAGCUAGUUGGUGGGGUAACGGCUCACCAAGGCGACGAUCCGUAGCUGGUUUGAGAGGACGACCAGCCACACUGGGACUGAGACACGGCCCAGACUCCUACGGGAGGCAGCAGUGGGGAAUUUUGGACAAUGGGGGAAACCCUGAUCCAGCCAUCCCGCGUGUGCGAUGAAGGCCUUCGGGUUGUAAAGCACUUUUGGCAGGAAAGAAACGUCAUGGGUUAAUACCCCGUGAAACUGACGGUACCUGCAGAAUAAGCACCGGCUAACUACGUGCCAGCAGCCGCGGUAAUACGUAGGGUGCAAGCGUUAAUCGGAAUUACUGGGCGUAAAGCGUGCGCAGGCGGUUC